UACAGAGGGGGCGAGCGUUGUUCGGAAUUACUGGGCGUAAAGGGCGCGUAGGCGGCCUUCUAAGUCGAACGUGAAAUCCCCGGGCUCAACCCGGGAACUGCGUCCGAUACUAGGAGGCUUGAAUCCGGGAGAGGGAUGUGGAAUUCCAGGUGUAGCGGUGAAAUGCGCAGAUAUCAGGAGGAACACCAAUGGCGAAGGCAGCUCGCUGGAACGGUACUGACGCUGAGGCGCGAAAGCGUGGGGAGCGAACAGG
RNAcentral lists this ribosomal RNA (253 nucleotides) under uncultured bacterium. Its description in RNAcentral is "partial 16S ribosomal RNA". It matches the Rfam family "Bacterial small subunit ribosomal RNA", at positions 524 to 776 of the family's 1533-position model. The record is from RNAcentral.